GACGAACGCUGGCGGCGUGCUUAACACAUGCAAGUCGAGCGGUAAGGCCCUUUCGGGGGUACGACGAGCGGCGAACGGGUGAGUAACACGUGGGUGACCUGCCCUUACGCUCUGGGAUAAGCCUGGGAAACGUGGGUCGUAAUACCGGAUAUGACUCCAUGACGCAUGUUGUGGGGUGGAAAGCCUUGUGCGGCUAGGGAUGGGCCUGCGGCCUAUCAGCUUGUUGGUGGGGUGAUGGCCUACCAAGGCGACGACGGGUAGGCCGGCCUGAGAGGGCGACCGGCCACACUGGGACUGAGACACGGCCCAGACUCCUACGGGAGGCAGCAGUGGGGAAUCUUGCGCAAUGGGCGAAAGCCUGACGCAGCGACGCCGCGUGGGGA
Molecule: ribosomal RNA, 383 nt
Filed under: uncultured bacterium
Lineage: Bacteria
Description: bacterial SSU rRNA
Rfam family: Bacterial small subunit ribosomal RNA
Source: RNAcentral